GGUUAAGUGAUUAAGCGUAGACGGUGGAUGCCUUGGCAGUCAGAGGCGAUGAAGGACGUACUAACCUGCGAAAAGCGAUGGUGAGCUGGUAAGAAGCAUUUGAGCCAUCGAUGUCCGAAUGGGGAAACCCACCUGCAUAAGCAGGUAUCUUAGCGUGAAUACAUAGCGUUAAGAGGCGAACUCGGGGAACUGAAACAUCUAAGUACCCGAAGGAAAAGAAAUCAAUUGAGAUUCCGGCAGUAGCGGCGAGCGACCCCGGAGCAGCCCUUAAGCGGCUUAGGCGUUAGGUGAACAGGUUGGAAAACCUGGCAAUAAAGGGUGAUAGCCCCGUAACCGACGGCGCCUUAGACGUGAAAACGAGUAGGACGGGACACGUGAUAUCUUGUCUGAACAUGGGGGGACCAUCCUCCAAGGCUAAAUACUCCUGACUGACCGAUAGUGAACCAGUACCGUGAGGGAAAGGCGAAAAGAACCCCUGUGAGGGGAGUGAAAUAGAACCUGAAACCGUCUACGUACAAGCAGUGGGAGCCUCCUUUGUGGGGUGACCGCGUACCUUUUGUAUAAUGGGUCAGCGACUUAAUGUUAGUAGCAAGGUUAACCGCAUAGGGGAGCCGUAGGGAAACCGAGUCUUAACUGGGCGAGUAGUUGCUAGCAUUAGACCCGAAACCGAGUGAUCUAGCCAUGGGCAGGUUGAAGGUUGAGUAACAUCA
This 710-nucleotide non-coding RNA is filed under the name Salinivibrio sp. KP-1. RNAcentral describes it as "Bacterial large subunit ribosomal RNA". It matches the Rfam family "Bacterial large subunit ribosomal RNA", at positions 1 to 764 of the family's 2925-position model. The record is from Rfam by way of RNAcentral. Lineage: Bacteria; Pseudomonadati; Pseudomonadota; Gammaproteobacteria; Vibrionales; Vibrionaceae.